Molecule: ribosomal RNA, 497 nt
Filed under: uncultured bacterium
Lineage: Bacteria
Description: partial 16S ribosomal RNA
Rfam family: Bacterial small subunit ribosomal RNA
Source: RNAcentral
GAUGAACGCUGGCGGCGUGCCUAAUACAUGCAAGUCGAGCGAACGGACGAGAAGCUUGCUUCUCUGAUGUUAGCGGCGGACGGGUGAGUAACACGUGGAUAACCUACCUAUAAGACUGGGAUAACUUCGGGAAACCGGAGCUAAUACCGGAUGAUAUUUUGAACCGCAUGGUUCAAAAGUGAAAGACGGUCUUGCUGUCACUUAUAGAUGGAUCCGCGCUGCAUUAGCUAGUUGGUAAGGUAACGGCUUACCAAGGCAACGAUGCAUAGCCGACCUGAGAGGGUGAUCGGCCACACUGGAACUGAGACACGGUCCAGACUCCUACGGGAGGCGGCAGUAGGGAAUCUUCCGCAAUGGGCGAAAGCCUGACGGAGCAACGCCGCGUGAGUGAUGAAGGUCUUCGGAUCGUAAAACUCUGUUAUUAGGGAAGAACAUAUGUGUAAGUAACUGUGCACAUCUUGACGGUACCUAAUCAGAAAGCCACGGAUAACUACGUG